GCAAUUUGUUAUUUCUCGGUGUUUGUGGUGGAUUUCCCCAUACGACAUGUACAUGCAACACUGGAGUACCAGCUUCUGCUAAAGCAGGAAUAUCACCGAGUUGCAGCAAAGAUGGGGGUGCGGUACUUCUCAACAAACAAUGUUUUCCAGCCAUCCAAAAGGCAUCUGUGGUGUCAGGAUCUGGUACACCUAAGUGAUGACGAAGAUAUGCCUCUCCUUGCGGACUUCAUUUGGAACACUUCAUACAGCAUCCUGCACAUUCCUGUCAAUCCUGUGCCACUUAGAGUGCAUCCUACACUCAAAUGAUGCUUCCACAAAAACAAGAAGGAGCAUGGUACUUCAUCACAGCCACAGUGUGUUGAUCGAUCUCAACGCUCAGCAACAUCCUAUCGGCCCUUUCCAGCUGUUAAAAUGAAGUAUGUCGACCAUGACCAAUGGACGCAUCUGGUCCCUACUGUUCCAGAUGUGAGGAUUCAGGUCCGGGACCGGCGUCAUUGUAUACGUCAGCAUGCUGCCAAAGGACUGUUUGUUGACAUACAGCAACAAAUUGUCAAUGGGGGUAGGAUGGAACGCAUCUUUGACACAUACGUCCUAUGUUACCCUUUGGCCUACCGCCAGAACGCCAAGCCUGUCCAUGACCCAGCAUCUCAGUCCGUGGCUGAGAAGAAAUCCCUGCACAUCAAAAAGCUAAGUGCUGUUGGUUCAGGGCAUGUGGGUCGUAGGCCUUUGGUAGUAGUUGACAGGGUCAAAGAAGUUGUAGGACAGGAAGAUGUUAGGGAUAAGGUAGUAAGGAGGAGAAAGAUGGGAAACAUAAACACCAGUGUUACACAGAUAGAACAGAAGCAGGAGUUGCCUACUGAGAGAGCACUGAAACAGGAGUUGGCUAGUCAAAUAGUAUAGAAACAGAAGUUUGGUAGGGAUGAAGGAAGUGUUGCUGGUCAGGGGCAAGGGGGUCACAUGCUUUCAGAAGUAGGCAAAGGGCUUCAGGAUACACAACACAUACACGGGGUAUAUAGCUGGAUGAUGGUAUCUAAUUUCUGUGUUCCCUUCCAGCCCACUUUUGAAUGUCCCAAUAAGUUUAGUAUUGCAGAAGUGCGUGAUGACAACACAUUGCCAAUAGCUUGUGAGCCAAAUGGGGUGAAAUCAUUGGCAAGUAAGACACCAAAUACACAGGACAACAAAGGGGGAUGCCUUCUGUGCAUGACACAAGUGGGGGAGAUUCAGGCCAUAACAGUGUGCUUACAGACAGUAGCUCAUACUGAUAUUGAAAACAAACAAAAGGAAAUAAACAGCAGACCAGCUGCAGUACUUGCCAUAAGAAAGGGCAAGAACCACAUAAGAGGAGGUAUUUCAGACGGCAAUUAGCAUAGCAGAGCAGCAUGGUAUCCAACUUAGAAGUAGCAAUCCAAACAAGGCCAAUGGUAAUUGCUUGUAUGAAUCCAUUAUUGAUAACAUAAAUGCAAGAGAAUGUUUUGCAGAACAUUUGACAGAAAGGCCUGAGCACUAUAGAAAGGUCUGGAAUACUGUAGGUGAACAGAAAAUUAAGGCAUCUACAUACUAUCCAAACAUAUAUACAGAACAGCAGUGGAGAGAAGCAUGGCAAAUUUUGCAAACAACUAACCAAUAUGACCUAGACUAUUUUGGUGAUAUGGCUAUCCUUAGUUGUGCUCAUACUACUAAGAAAGAUAUCCUUGUUUUCAACACACCUUGGAAAACAACGACUGCUCAAUCUCAUAGUCCAAUAUAUGUAAUAUCUGCAGAUGCAAUAGAUCCAGCAAAUGCAAGAGAUACUCAUGUUCCAUUGGUGUUGGCAUACAAUGGCCAUCAUUUUGAAAGCCUCAUUCCUGUUUCUAAUGUUGAUGUUGACAAAACAAUUGUUUUGGUGGAUGCAUACAAGACUGGCACGUAUAAGACUCCUAGGUCUUUAGCACAAAUGUUUGAGCUCAUUGGAAAUGAUUUACACAACACAGAAAGAGAUUGUCCCAUAACAAAUAAAACCAUAUGUACACAGACCACAGAAAACCAGAAAAGAACAGAGCUUGCAGCUACCACCAUUAAUGUCCAGAUUCAAAAUUACGCUCCUAAAUCCAAGAAUUUAGAUGAAGGCAAUAAUACCAGUGAUACCGUAGCAAUAACUUUGCCAGAUGUAUGCAACAGCUGUCAAAAGCCAUUUCAAAGGCUGCUGGUACAUUUGCGCAGGUCAAAACAAUGUCAAUUACAUUACAACAUGCAAUCUUUGUAUCAAGAAGUAAUUGUGAAACACACAGACCAAAAACCUGUAUGGCAAGCUGCCAAACGUCAAAAAAUGCAAAAACAUAAGCAAACUGAGGUCAUCGUAGGCCUAAACCAUGUUGAACAACAACCUCUACCAUGUCAGAAAGAGAAAGAGUCCACUCCAAUUGAAGCCAGUGCAAUACACAUGAAAAUGUCACAGGAAAAAAUGUUUCACCAUGUAAUGUAAAUAAAAACACAGAAAGAGAUUGUCCCAGAACAAAUGACACAAUAUGUAAGCAGGCCAAAGAAAACCAGAAAAGAACAGAUCUUGCAGCUAUCACCAGUAAUCUCCAGAUUCAAAAUAUAGGUCCUAAAUCCCACAAUUUACAUGAAGCCAAUAAUACCAGUGAUACCCUAACAAUAACUUCCCUAGAUAUAUGCAAGGGCUGUCAAAAGCCAUUUCAAAGGUUGAUAGUACAUUUGAACAGAUCAAAACAAUAUCAAUUACAUUACGACAUGAAAUCUAAGAGCAAUCCAACAAUGCUUAAUCCAAAUGCAGAUGAAGUUGUUUUUUUCAAUGAAAUGGAAAGCCCAUGUCUCACAUUCUCUCCUUUCACUAUGGAGCAAAAAAAAAACCACUUUGUUCAAAAAUUAACAUCAUCCACAACCUGAAUAUGUUGAUACACAAGAACCAGUUCCAAUGAAUGUCCCAAUGAAAGAUCCUUGUGAGACAAAGGCUAUUGUAGGUGAUGGUAACUGCUUUUUCAGAGCUCUGUCAUUUUCCAUUAGUGGAAGUGAAGGUCAUCACAGAAAAAUCCGACUAGCUGUGGUUAAACAUAUGGAAACAAAUGCAUCACAGCAUGCUCCUAUUCUCAAAGAUUGAUAUUUUUCUGUUGAAAACUAUGUGAAAGCAUCACGCAUGAAAUAUGUUAAAACUUGGGCAUCUGAGGUGAAAUACAAGCAGCUGCAGAUCUCUUUGGAGUUGAUGUUUUAACAUACAGUCGCAACAAGUGGUCCACAGCAAAUGGAAAGACAAUUCACACAGCUAUAUACCUAAUCACUGCAACGCGUCUCAUUACGAAGUAGUUACAUGCGUUAAGCAUCACAAUUCUGCCCUAUGCACUAAACUCUGCAACAAAUCCAAUGAAUGCCCUCAGUCACAUCAGAUAAGGAGUUCUUCAAGUCGACGUGAGCUUGACAGAAAAAACAAACAAUAUGAAAUAAACAAACAAUUCCAAAAUGCAAAAAAUAAAAUAGGAAUUAAAAGAUACAAUGAAGAUGAAAACUACAAGAAAACUGAAAAGAAGGCAGCAUAAACAAAUACGCCACUGAUGCCCAACACCGGACAAAUGUGAAACAAUACAGUGCACACAGAUAUGCCACUGAUGAACAACACCGUGCAAAUAAGAAAAAGUGCAGCAUAGAAAAAUAUGCCACUGAUAAACAACACCGUGCAAGUACAAAACAAUACAGCAUAGACAAAUAUGCCACUCAUGACCAACACCGCACAACUGUGAAACAAUACAGCAUAGACAAAUAUGCCACUGAUCAACAACACCAUGCAAGUACAAAACGAUACAGCAUAGACAAAUAUGCCACUGAUGAACAACACAAGGAAAAUCUGAAACAGUACAAUAUUACCAGAAGGAUUGAA
Long non-coding RNA from Anguilla rostrata (American eel), 3868 nucleotides. RefSeq lists it as uncharacterized. The record is from RefSeq and is a predicted model, not a curated record. The transcript has 6 exons. Lineage: Eukaryota; Metazoa; Chordata; Actinopteri; Anguilliformes; Anguillidae.